This 30120-nucleotide long non-coding RNA is filed under the name Triticum aestivum (bread wheat). Its description in RNAcentral is "long non-coding RNA (TAES_LNC018718)". The record is from RNAcentral. Lineage: Eukaryota; Viridiplantae; Streptophyta; Magnoliopsida; Poales; Poaceae.
CCCGCACUGCUAGGCCUCCUAGCCGACCGAGUCUACUCUGCUACGCUAGUUACUCUAGCUGAGUAAGUGCUGUGGUACGCAAGUAUAUGUUGGUAUGUUGGAAUAAAACGAUGGUGAUCUACGGCGUCAGGCUGCUGGCCGGUGAACUUGUGUUGGGGCUUGCAUAGGAUCCAUUGAUUUGUCUCACUAUCACUGCUCAGAUUGUCUACAGUCAGAUUUGGAAAUCCACCCCGUUCCCCUAAAUGUCCGCCGACGCGUUCGGACGUUGUCUCUGGAUAACGCCAGACGACCCCUCAUGUGUCCUUCCCGAGAGGCACUGUCCUUAUAUCUAAACCCUCAAAUUCAUCUAAUCUAUGCACGUGGAUCAUAUAGUAUAAAUUGUUCACCAAUUCAACAAUGUAACAAAGCAAAAUAAACCACAAUUCAACAAUCCGGACAUGGCAAAAAUAAAAUUCAACGUCCGAGCCACGACUGGACAAUCUGAUGAAUCACUCGUUGGAUGUCAUCCGUGUCGUGUGAUCUGCCGCCAUUCGUGGCUCAUGCGCUGCCUCGUAAUCUCUAUGCAUGUUGAUCUCCUUCUUCCUCUCCUCAAGCCACUUCUUGCCUUCCGCACCCAACAGGCCUGCGUCCGCCAACAUUAUCAUAAAAUUCUUGGUGUCUCGAGCAAAUUGCAACCUCUCCUCAAUCUCUAUUGAUCAAAAGUCCAGGCCUUCUCGAACUCCCAUUUGGGACACGCCUCCUUCUCCAACUAUCUUCUCCCUCUCAAUUUCCAACUUGUUGCUUUCAAUUUGCAACUUAUUCACUACUAGGGAAAAGCUUAUAGGCAGACGCUUACUAGUAGCGUGGAUUUAUACCCCUCGCUAUUGCUACUUACUAGUAGCGCGAGUUUAUAACCCCCGCUACUGCUAAGUCGAUAGUAGUAGCGCGGGUUUAUAACCCUCGCUACUACUAAGUGGUCUCUGCCAUGCCCCCCGACAUACCAUAGUAGCAGCAAGGGGUAUAAACCCGCGCUACUGCUAAGUUGAUAGUGGUAGCGCGGGUUUAUAACCCUCGCUACUACUAAGUGGUCUCCACCGUGCGCCACCCGGGACAUGCCAUAGUAGUAGCGAGGGGUAUAAACCCGCGCUACUACUAUCGACCCACCAAGACAUGUGUACACAUAGCGUGCGGAGGCCCAAAUCCAAACCCACACUCUUCUGAUUCCCCUUCUCUUCCCACCCGCGAUUCCCUUGCUCACCCACCGCCACUACCGGCCUCGCACCUCGGCGCCACUCACAAAUCUGACGACCUCCUCUCGCACUGCAGACCCCUCCCCCUCCAUCAUCCUUCUUCUCCGCUGUUGGAAGGAGAGGGAAACCAGCAGAGCGUCGUCCAUGGUGGCGGCCAGAUCCGCCAUGGACGUAGCCACUUACACCUCCUCGCCGGGUCAAGGGUCCCACGACAAGCAGCAGCAGGUCACCAGGCUUCAUCUAGGGUUUCGGGUGUCGGCUCCAACUCCGGCGGCCACCGGUGAGUUCCUCCUCCUACUGCUCUCUAUCUCUCUCUUCCUCUUUCUAAUAAUUUUCUCUUCUUUUAUAGCAGCAGUAGAAGAGAGGUGCGGGCACAAGUUGGGUGGGGAAGCACCAUCACCAUGGACAACUUCAUCCCCUCCAGGACCGGUAGCAGCCAUGGAUGGAGAGGACGAUGACGCCCAACAGAAGCAGCCUCCAUGGAUGGAAUUUUUUUUUAAUUCUCAAUUAGUUAGUAGUACCGCGGGGCCUUGACCCGCGCUACAACUAAGUAGCAGUAGCGCGGGUGGCAAUCGUGCUACUACCACUAGAAGUAGCAGUAGCGCGGGUACCACCCGCGCUACUGCUAAAAGUUAGUUGUAGCGCCCUAGCUGUAGCGCAGCCCCCGCGCUACUGCUAGGGAAUUACCCCCGCGCUACUACUAGGGUUUUCCCUAGUAGUGAUUGUUCAUCUUCUCCCGGUUCCAAUCCAUCCUCUCUUUCUACAGAUUCAAUAUGCGCUUGUACCCAUCCUCUUUCUUGUCAAUCCUUAUGGAAAAAUGCAUGUCCAUGUGGUGGACAUUUUUUACGUCGCAGCAUCACGAAUGAUCCUACCCUUAUCUCACUUGUUUCACUUUACUUGCCGGUUAUUCAUUGCCACGGUGACUCUUUCAUUACCCAAUGGAACUUCUUCCUCUUCCUUAUGCAAUCCAAUGGACUGGUGGGAGCUUGAGCCAUCAUUUGUCUUUAAUUUCUUGUUGCCUUUCUUGAGGUCAUCCACUACUUUUAUCCACUUUGUUUGGCCAUUAAAUUUUAUCAAAAAUGGCUAAAAUUGAAUGGCUUCUUCUCUGUUUGUUGGUACAAAGUGGCCGCCAACACCAUCUAUAUAAAAAAGUUAUCAUGAUAACCCGACAUAAAAAAAUAGCAAUGCAAAUUGUGACAAAGAAAAUCAAUUCAACUCACAUGACUUUGGACUCCAAUCGCACUUUGAUUCCGGCCACGCACAGAAGCAUAGUGGCCAACAAACUUGUUGACGUGAUCUUCGAUGGUGGACCUUCUAUGUUGGAGAGACGACACAUUACAGGUGGUAUUGUUAGGAUUCGGCUCCACGUAUUCCUUGUGUUCAUUAUAGUGCUUGUGGAUUUUCUCCCAAUACUUGUUAGCCUUCUGCUCUUUGCCACUUAUGGGGUCCAAGCUUAUCGCCAACCAAGAUUUAACCAACAGAACAACCUCAAUUGUUGUGAAUGUCGUACCUAUUGCCUUGCUUUUCUUUGCCCUUUUCUUCUUAGUGCUCGAUGUGCCCCAACAUAAAAAGUAGGAUAAUUUGGAUCCCACAAGGCACAUACUCCAUAGGGUCCGUAGGCUCUUGCCCCUCAUUGAUCAUGUUUGACAUGAAGUUUUCCUAAAAUAAUCAUGAUUCCAAAUAAACUAACGUAAUAUGCAACUACUUGAUUCAAUGGGAUAUGCAACUAACUAAUCCACAACAUCAUAGUUAAUAUAACGAAUGAACCAGUAGAAAAUGGAGCAAAAUUUGUACUGUCUCCUGACGGAUCAUUUCGUCCAACAGGAACCGGGCAGAUUAGGCAUUCUGUCUCCAUGGACGAAUUUUUCUAUGAUCUUUGUUGAGAUCAAAGUUUAUGUUAAUUCCCAUCGUAUCGCGACAACUGCUUAGCGGGGCCGGUAUGGUCCACCAAUAACGGAGUCACAUCCGGCAGAUCUCGGGUAGCGAGUCCCGAGCUAAGUGUGGCCCACCAAUGACAGACUAAAAUCCAGUAGAUCUCGGGUAGGGGGUCCUAAGCUAAGUGUCUCAACGCGGUGGUAAUGUGUGCACGGGUUUUCGCACAGGUUCGGGCUCUCCUAAGAGAUAAAUCCCUACGUCUUGUUGUACUACUUUGGGAUGAAUUACAAGGUUUCGGUGAUCUACCUUGACAUUGUUGUGUGUUUCUAGAUUUGAUGAUGUAAGUUGCGUUCUAUUGUCUAGCCCAGCCUCGGCUUAUAUACGAAUAUCGGAUGACUAGGAUUAGAGGAGUCCAAAUCGCCUAUGUUGUUGGAGAAGAGUCCUCCACGGAUAAGGAGUGCUUGAACGACAAGACUUCUUGAUUUUCCUUGGAGAUCGCCAUGGGCCGCCCAAAGUGGCCCAGGACAGAACCGACAAGGGGGUCCUUAGCGAGGCUCACCUGGCCGGGAGUCAUCAUGGUGAGAGGCCCUCUAGCCAGGACACCGUCACUCAGGGCGUAUGUGUUGGGAAAAGUAGUAGAAAAAAAGAAGAUGUGUCGGUGUAGAUCGCACUGGGAGUUCCUCGGUCCCUUCAAGGGAAGACCGAAAGCGCGACCUCUCUACAAGUUACAAGUGUACAGUCUUCACGAUCCAGCAUCGCUUUGCCAUCUAGAGCUAAUUGUCGCCGGAGAAUUAGAGGAAGGAGAUUAGAACCACAUUGGGCUUCUAAUUAUAAGGAUUAGAGGAUCUAGCUCUAGCUCUAAUUGAUCAACUAGGACCAACUAGAAGUAGAACUAGAGAAUUAGAGGAGGCUCUAAAACUUGUCUCUCUCAAUGGGGAAAAUCCUCUAGUAUAUAUAGGUUUGAGGGGAGAGGAGGGGCGCCAUACAUGGGUGAAAGGGCUCCCCCCUUGUGCUGGCCUAGAGGGGGAGGAGGAGUCCUCCCCCUAGUCCAAUUCGGCCUCCCCAAAUGGGAAAGGGGGCGCCUCCCCAUUUGGGCCCUUGUGGCCCGAUCCUCCUUCCACUUCUUGGCCUUUUAAUACCUGUAAAAGCCUCCUAGUAAUUACUAGAGCCUUUUAUUAUUAAUUUAACAUCUCUGGAAACAUUUUUCCACCUAUAUAUUAUUUAUCGGUAAUACCCGGUAUUGCCCGAUAAACUCUGAAAUCCUUUCGGUGACUCUAAAACUCUUCCGGUACCUCUCGAAACUAUUUCUAAUACUAAGAAACUAUUUUAAGAAUAAAUCCUCGAUACUCAAGUCCUACUAACACUCUGCAAAUCGUAAUUACAUUAAGCGUGUGACCCUGUAGGUUUGGUUAAACAUAUACAUGAACAAAAACCCCUUUGUUCAAAGACCGAUAGCGGAAACAUGGGCGUAUGUAUCGAUUCCUAUGAGUACAUGAAUGAUAUUCGAGCGAACCUUUGGUUAUCAUGUGUUAUUCCUUUUGCUUCGCAACAAUGUACAAAACCCGAGAUGUAUCUGUAUCUUCUUGAGUCAUACACGUGCUCACUAUACCGAUCUUCUCGUUACCAGUUUUCUUCUUCUUUCUCAUUAAUAUGUUCCAGCAUCCCUGUGACAUAGUCACCUGUGUCUGACCAAACGAUGAUAUAUGCCAUCACACCGAGAGGGACCUAAGAAUUUAUCUCCGUCAUCGAAGGAGAAAAUUCCACUCACGAGUUAUCUAGUCCCUUGUCAAACUUUCAGAUGAACAUGUAAGUUUUUGUGAUGAUCAUCGACGUUUGAGCAAUCCCAAAGUCCGCCCUACGGUAAGAAGUGACUACGAUUAUCUCAUGGUCUAAGGAACUAAAACACAUGUUAACACUUCAUGUUAUAAUAAUUGCUUUCAGAACAUAUCAACUCAAAGUAUAACAAACAAGUUUGGGUCGAUUCAACAUGGUCGUUCUUCUAACGUCAUACUCUGUUUUUUUAGGACUAUCGUUACACUUAACGAUAUCCUAAGAUCUGGAAAACAUGAUCACCAACAACACUUGAGCUAGUCUUAGAGGCGAGAUUAGGAAUCUUAUUUUACCUUUUGUCAUUCCACACGUGCAUAUUAGUUUUUCACUGGAUCGCACAUUUCAGGAUCAUCACAGUUAUAGCGUAGAAUAUAAACUCUUAAUCAUGAAUAUGAAAAUACAAUAUUAUUGCUUCUAGUGCAUAGUUCCAACACCAGUAGGCCUCGUGGCGGCCUUGUCACAGCGGUCGGUGCAAGGACCCAUCUUGAAGAUAAAUUAUAAUCUUGGCAUGCAAGCCAAGAACCCUCAUGGCAAGGUCGGUUAGGAUUCCUAUAAAACCUAGCUCUUGCUGCCCAUUCAUAAGGCGAGACUAGGGUUAGUUCGAGGCAUUUGUUCCAUUCUACAGACCUCGAUAGUACUCAUCAUCCUCCACGUGUAACCCCCUCGCACGAGGUGCUCCCACAUAUCAAUCCAAAACAAACUAGGAGUAGAAUAUUACCUUGAUCAUGAAGGCCUGAACCUGGGUAAAACGACCCAUGCAAACUCCCUUCUAGUACUUCCGGCUACGCUCUCCAGCCUACUGAGGGCACUGGCGGUUUUCUGCACCAUCAAUUAAUUAAACAUACAAAAGUAAUUACCAUAAAAAUGGUGUAAAUGUUUCAUUGUGAAUGGAACUUAAUUCGUUGAUAUGAUGGACACCAUAAGUUUUGUAAAAUGUAGAAGUUAAUUACUUAGUUUUGAAGCAUCGUCGACAUCUGGCAAUCUUAAAAUUGCUAAUCACAUAUGUUGAUUCAAUCAUGUGCCUUACAAUAAAACAUAUACCAACAAAAACUGCAUACCUAAAAGCUAAAACAAAAAAACCAUUUGGGCCAAAAUAAGCCCAAUGGAAGUGGCACAGUCCACUUCCUUUUUCGUUUUUCUAAUUUUUGGGGAAAGGGGGGACGUGGGCUGCAACCCACUUGAUCUUAUCACCCGGGUUGUUAGGGUUGGGGUUGCCAAACACUUGUACCGAUGAGGGGUCCUAGUCUGCGAUUUCAGUAUUGGGAACUCUCUUGGCGCCCACCACUGCUCUUUUCGCUUGUUCCCACAUGUCAUAUGUCGUUCGAUCCAGUUUUUUAUCUGCUCGAUUUUCUUCUCCCUGCUCUCUUACAUUUCAUGAACUUCAAAAAAUAUGAAAAAUAAAAAAAUGAAUUAGAAAUAGUUCAGAGGGUAGAUUAUUGACCAGCUGACCGUUAACCUUUCAUCUCUGACCAGAUCCUUUGUCCGUAGUUUUUUUUGGAAAAAAUCAUGUAUAUGAGAAAAAUAUCACAAAAAUUGACAAAAGAUCAUAAGUUUGAAAGAAGUUUGUAAAAUUUAAAAAAUCCAUGAUUCUAGUUUGGAAUUUUUUCAUAGAUUUGAAAUUGUUCAUAAAGUUAAGAAAAAUUUCACGGGUUUAAAAAUAAAGUUCAUCAAUUUGGAAAAAAAUAUUGAUUCGGAAUUGGAGAAAACAUCAUGAAUUCAAAUAAUGUUCACAAACUUGUGAAAAAUAUCUUGAAUUUGAAAAAAUUUCAUAGGUUCAAGGAAAGUUCACGAAUUUGAAAAGAAAAGUUCAAGAAUUUUGAAAGAAUCCCAAUUUGGGAAAGUUUAUGAAUUUAUUUUUUCUAUUUUCUUAAAAGUUCAUGCAUCUGAAAAAAUGAAAAAUGAAAACAGAAAAACCGUAAAAAUGGUCCAAAGCUUGAAAAAGCUUCCAAAAACCGGGACGAGUGACUCCCGCAAAAGUGCAUUACGUGGGCUGGCCGAACUGCUUGGGUAGUGAGCGUCGCAUAUGAACAGAACAUUAUCUGGUACGUUAAGCGUCAUAUAGGAUUUGUGUCUCCCGAUCCCCUUCUCCCUAUUGUUCGCCAUUAAGAUUUGUUUCAUAUGAGUUACCAAAGAGGCAACGAGACAAUAAUCAUUGUAAGUUGUACACCAUAUUCUCAUUAUUUCUUCACAAGGCUUUUGAGGGUGUUUCGGCUACUUAUCAAAUAUAUUUUUUCUCACAUUUUUCCUAUGGUUUUUUGGGUGAAAUUCUGAUAAUUAUACAAACGAUUCGAGAUAGUACAUAAAAACAAGAAUAUUCGUUGUAUAGGGAGGAGCUAGUGUGAAUUGUACGAUUCUUGGUUACAUCGCAUUGCACACNNNNNNNNNNNNNNNNNNNNNNNNNNNNNNNNNNNNNNNNNNNNNNNNNNNNNNNNNNNNNNNNNNNNNNNNNNNNNNNNNNNNNNNNNNNNNNNNNNNNNNNNNNNNNNNNNNNNNNNNNNNNNNNNNNNNNNNNNNNNNNNNNNNNNNNNNNNNNNNNNNNNNNNNNNNNNNNNNNNNNNNNNNNNNNNNNNNNNNNNNNNNNNNNNNNNNNNNNNNNNNNNNNNNNNNNNNNNNNNNNNNNNNNNNNNNNNNNNNNNNNNNNNNNNNNNNNNNNNNNNNNNNNNNNNNACUAAUGGCACAACCACAAGAUGGCAUAAACAUGAUGCCCAGAGUAGAGAGGAAUGUGACGCUUGGUAAAACAGAAGCUGCAACACUGCGCAAAACUACCCAAGCAAAGAACAUGUCCCAAAUAUCAAAAUCUAUCGCUGGGCAUGCCACGAGCAAUCAAGACGAUGCCUUCAUGAAGAAAAACAAUGCCGUGACACACAAGCUUUGCAUAUUUAUGAAAAAUGUAUAUGGUUAAGUGCUCUUUUUUUGCUUAUAUUGCUUAAGCAACAGUAUGUGUAGUUCAACCCAGGUGUAUAUGUAUAUCCCGCCAAUUAUAUCGUCAAUAACGAUUAUGAAUCCAUCCAUUCAUCUAUCUCUCACACUCUUUAGUUUUCGCUUGUAACACGACCGAAGAGACUAGCGCACCACAACCAUAAACCAAUGUUGGCCUCUUGUGACCUUUCGAUUGCGCCCCGCAAUGCAGGUGGUGUUGCUGCGUUAUGCUGUCUCAAAUGUGCGGAGCCUUUCGAUUGUGUCGAUGGUGCAGUGUCAUGGUCUUGUCUGCUAGGCGAUGCCGACUUCGCCCGUGGCACACAGGCGCCGUGGCGUCGUCUCGGCCUCGCGUGACCUUUCGUAUGCACCCUCGGCACAGGUGGUGUCGUGGCGUUGUGCAGUCUUUGAUGUGUGAAGCCUUUUGAAUGCGUCGAUGGUGCGGUGUCCUGGCUUGCUCGGCUGGCCAAUGCCGUUCGAUCACAUUGGUGGUGCUCUGUGUUGUGUUGGGUUGUGUCUUCCCUCUUUGUUGGUAUGUUGUGGUGUGUGUUGUUUUUGCUUUAUCUCUCCUCCUCCUGUUCCCCUGUAAUUCUGCUGCACUUGAACCUAAAAGGCAGUGGGGCGGUCACCUACCUUUGGAUGCCUCGCAUGAAUUCAAUGAACUCGUCCGCUAGCUUCCGCGUACCACCCACCGAGCAGAGCCAGCGAGCAACCAACACCGGCCAACUACCCACUGGAGUUGAAUGCAGGACGUCCAAAGUAAUGCAGGACGUCCAAAGUGUGCCCGUAAACCAUUCUGCUGACCGUAGUCAUGGCGAGCUGGUGCAAUUCAGUGCAUGCUCUAGCUGUAGGGUAGAGUGUUCAACUGAUUGUUACAGCGGCCGUGGGCGAUUCAUUAGACGGCUCCCGGCAGGUGAGUGGUUCGUUUGCAGUGAUGGACGUCCUCGCAUUUCACUUAUUGCCCCUGCAUCUUUCUUUAAUCGCUCACCUGCUCCGUCGGCGGCGAUGGCCGCGUACGCUCCCUACGUGUCGCCGCAUGGCAUGCACAUGGCCGGCUCGGGCCACGGCGAUGCGUGGCUAGCUAUAAAUAGCCCAGCCGGGAGCUCCUAGAUCGAUCUCCACACAACUACCAGUACACUCCACUCCCAUCACACACACGGACACACCUGCGAGAGCGUGAGCCAUGGCGUCCAUGGGGAAGAAGCAGGUGGUGGCGGCGCUGAUGCUGGUGCUGGUGGUGCUGGCGGCGGCGCCGGGCGGGGCGCACGCGGCGUGCCAGGCGUCACAGCUGGCGGUGUGCGCUUCGGCGAUCCUGUCCGGGGCCAAGCCGAGCGGCGAGUGCUGCGGCAACCUGCGGGCGCAGCAGCCGUGCUUCUGCCAGUACGCCAAGGACCCCACCUACGGGCAGUACAUCCGCAGCCCCCACGCGCGCGACACCCUCCAGUCCUGCGGCCUCGCCGUCCCGCACUGCUAGGCGCCGGCAGGCCCCUGGCGCACAUGGCAAGCUAGCUGCCUCAGUGACCAUGAGAGCGUCAGACUAUAGCUAGCCUAUCUGAGUGCCUACGUGUUGCGUCCAUGAAAGCAUCUUCCUGUCAACCAUGUGGUUCGACUUUGAUGAUGCUGGAAUAAAAAUAUAAAAUGUUGGGUGAUGAUCUACGGCAGCCAUGUUGCUUCUUGGCUGCUGCUGCUGGUAAUAAAAUUUGUGUUGCAACUUGAUGAGAUCGGCUGAGUUGUGUUCAGUGACCAAACCAAACUGCCCCUAUCAUAGAAUUGGUAAAUCUAGUGGUGCGGUAUGUAACGGCGAAGAAUCAACCGUUAGUGUUAUGGUCAAGAAUGGUGCAGUGACUAGGUACAAGAGGUUUGAAUGGAAUACAUAGAAAUGCUUGUGGGCCCUCUGCAUGCACCAUAACUUUUUUCAAGUCACAGUGAAGGGGGGAAUGAUUGCAUGUAUGCUAAGUAUUCUUUCUCUCUAUCCUGUACAACAUACUUUUAUUUUAUUUUUUAAACGAAUUUCUUAUAGAUCUUCCCUAAAUCAAAAGAAUGUUCUCAUUUUUUAGUAAUAUUUCAAUUCACAGCGAGAAGAUCUUCGAAACAAAACAAAUCAUUGAUAAAAACAUGAACCAGUUUUUAUUUUAUUGUUGCUAUCCCAUUUGAACUAGUUUUAGUAAUUUACUCUUUCAAUUGUAUUUGAAAUCAUUGUCACAUAUUUAAAAAACCAUUUCAUAGAUUAAAAAUUAUUAGUUUCACACACUGAAAUAAACAUUUUAGGAAAAUAUAAGUAAGUUUCAAACAAAAAAAUAUGUUUUAUAUAUUAAAUUAUAAGUUCAAAUACUGAAAUAAGAAACUUCAGAAAAUACAAAUAUUUUUCUCAUUAUAUAGUUAUUUACAGCUAGCUAGCAGAACAACUAGAACCCUAGCUGGGCAUAUUGGUUGGCUUCGGUGUGCUCUGCCUACGGCACAAAAGUUGGCGAUCAGCACUUGGAUGCGCGCAAAAUGCUGGACUUGCAUAAAAUUUUGUAUGGGUUCGACCUUGAAUCUACAAAGGGUGUGUCGUCACAUAUAUCCUCCCCCACACCCCACCCCGCCAACAAAAAAGUCAUAUUUCGCGCAUAUAGGCAAACUAGAUGAUAUCCCGCGCGUUGCUGCGGGAAUCAGUUGCAACAUAUAUCAAUAGAAUAUAGCUACAUGAAACAUUAAUAUUUAGAUUAAUUAUAUGAGAACUAAAACUGAAUUAAUAUAAGUAAUCUUUUCCCAUGCACUGUUGCAUGUACAUGUUGCACUUUACCCAUGCAUGAUUGCACAUUAAGGUGGCAUAGUUGCAUGUUGAGAGAAAUAUAUUAGUGGGAUCACCUACUUAGUUAUAGUAGUAUAUAACAUUAGUAUCCAUAUAAUAUAGAUUUUGAAACCAAAUGGUAAUAUCACUCAACUGUUAGAAAUGUUGAUUGAAAAAUGAUAAAUCGAUAGCAUGUAAUGGACAAAUGCAGAAAUUAAUAUAUAUUCUAUUUAGCACGUGAACAGCUUGAUUGAUUGACAUUUGCAGAUGUGUAGAAAAAGGUAAUAUUGAUAAGUUGGUCAAAUCUGGCAGUCUACCAGUGUAGCACAAACUAAUUCGUGCACAUUGCCCUGUUUGGUCCACAUCGAUAAUUAACCAAUCUAGGCGACAUAAUUAUUUUUUAAUUGGUCUUGCAAUAAUACUACCCAAUCAGAUACACAAAUUAAAUAAAAUUGCAUGCAUAUACUUUUGUUUCUAGUAUAACCAUCUCACUCAAGUAAAAAAAAAAUACCAAACUUGUCUCAUUAGGCAGGCCGCAUGCCAUCGAAUGGGUGUAGUGCAACAACAUAUGGAUUAAUCAUGGAGUGGCAAGCUUAAAAAAAGGUACAAAAAGACCAAUUAGGCAGCAGCAAAAAUUCGUCGCCUAGAGGUAGCAACGCAUUAGGAGUCUGAUCCAUGCAAACUGUAGUGAUUCAAUACAGAAAAGGAAACAGUCAGGCCGAGAUAAAUUGAAUGAGUAACUGAACAAAAAAAGGAUGUGUUUUUACCUAGUACUUGUACCACGUAUUAGAAGGGGAGCAAACGCCAUGGCCAUCAACAAAUGUUACGGUUUAAAAAGCACGCAUGUGUUUUGCAGGUCCACAUUAUCCCAAUAAUUUAUAGAGAAAACAGAUAUGAGGGAAACCUUUUGAUCUGACGUAGAGCGACCAUGACAGCUAUAGCACCAGAGUAGUGGCCACUGUAUGUCUCCAUUGCCAACGACCAGGAUCUGAAGGGGAUGCAAGCACACAGUGAAUCCAGAAGCGAGUAACGAUUCAAUGCCAAGACGAAUUACCUGAGGGGAAGUUAGGGGGUAAACAUGUUAGAGAAUUCACAUCUGAUCUUUUGAAGCCGGAGUAGAAGUUUGCCAGCAUCACCUGCGGCGCACAGAACAUGGGAAGGGAAGUGCCUCGGUGUUGAUCACAUAUGAGGAAGAUCCAUAGAGGGGUUCGCUAGGCUUGUGGACGGUGGCGAACCGGCGGCUGACCGCUCCACUACCUUGUUGCUUUCAUGGCUGCAUGUGAUGUACUUAUGGGAGGACGAAACGGCUGGGGGAUUGAUGGGAUAGUGAAACCACAGGCUGCUAAAAUUCUUUGGGACCAUAAAUGUCACGGUUAACUAUUGGAUUUCGGAGCAAAUCUAGUGCGCUCCAGUAAUCAGAAGCUGAAAGGAAGUUGUAUUUUCACCACUACUAGAAAAAAGGCUGUUAGUGGCGCAUCAGUUUUUUCUAUUAAUGGCGCACUAUAGGUGCGUCAUUAUUAACAAAUAGUAAUGGCGCACCAGAAGUGCGCCGUUACUAUCACAGAUACUAAUGGCACACCUAUAAUGCAUCAUUACAGUGCCUAGAAGUGCGCCAUUACUAUCUGACUUAGUAAUGGCGCACCACAUAGAAGUGCACCAUUACUAACAAAUUUUUUUCAAAUUUUUUUUAGGAAAAAAAUUUUCAACUUUUUUUCAGAAUUUUUUUUUUUCGUUUUUUUCUUAAUCUCGGGUCACUAUGGCUUAAUCUCAGGUCAAUAUGCUUAAUUUCAAGUCAAAUCGCACUCCGUGGUCAAACUUCCCGGAAAGUCACCCAUCCUCACAUUACUCCAGCCCGAGCACACUUAACUUUAGAGUUCUAUCCAACCCCAGCAUCAGCUCACUUAACAGGCACUUGUUGAUAUAUCUAUCAUAUCAAUCCUAUUAAACCUUUUUUGACAUUUCCAUCAUUUUCUUUUAUUUUUUCUAAAACUGAAAAGGCGGUCCAGGGGGUGUGUGUGUGUGCAUUUGGUGAAAUUUUCGGCCACCUAGAAAGUUAGUAAUGGCGCACCUUCGCAAAGUGCGCCAUUACUAUGUGUAUGACUUGGGCAAACCUUGGUCAAAGUUGGUAAUGGCGCACUUUGUGUAGGUGCGCCAUUACUAAGUUUGACAUAGUAAUGGCGCACCUAUGCAAAGUGCGCCAUUACUAAGUUUGACCAAGGUUUGACCCAGUCAUACACNNNNNNNNNNNNNNNNNNNNNNNNNNNNNNNNNNNNNNNNNNNNNNNNNNNNNNNNNNNNNNNNNNNNNNNNNNNNNNNNNNNNNNNNNNNNNNNNNNNNNNNNNNNNNNNNNNNNNNNNNNNNNNNNNNNNNNNNNNNNNNNNNNNNNNNNNNNNNNNNNNNNNNNNNNNNNNNNNNNNNNNNNNNNNNNNNNNNNNNNNNNNNNNNNNNNNNNNNNNNNNNNNNNNNNNNNNNNNNNNNNNNNNNNNNNNNNNNNNNNNNNNNNNNNNNNNNNNNNNNNNNNNNNNNNNNNNNNNNNNNNNNNNNNNNNNNNNNNNNNNNNNNNNNNNNNNNNNNNNNNNNNNNNNNNNNNNNNNNNNNNNNNNNNNNNNNNNNNNNNNNNNNNNNNNNNNNNNNNNNNNNNNNNNNNNNNNNNNNNNNNNNNNNNNNNNNNNNNNNNNNNNNNNNNNNNNNNNNNNNNNNNNNUGUGAAGGUGCGCCAUUACUAUGUCAACUUAGUAAUGGCGCACCUAUACAAAGUGCGCCAUUACUAUGUGUAUGACUGGGUCAAACCUUGGUCAAACUUAGUAAUGGCGCACUUUUCACCUGGUGCGCCAUUAGUAAUAUGGCCAUUAAUGGCGUACCUAUAUCUGGUGCGCUACUGCUAUAUAGCAGUGGCGCACCACAUACAUGGUGCGCCAUUAAUGUUCAUAUUAGCUAUAGCCGUUUUUCUAGUAGUGCACCGUGGGAACACUUCAUGACAUGGCUUGAUGUGGUGUUAUGCAUGUGCAAAAUUAGUGGUCGAACUGAACUGAUGAUGUGGAGGGCCUGCAUGUCAAGAGAAAUGAGGUACUGGGGAGCUCCUAUUUAGAUAUAGUAGAUUGGAACAGAGCAUUAUGGUUGGGUAUAACUUGCGAAUGAAAACUGCGUUUCAUUAAAAGUGACAUGGCGGGAGAGAACUACACGACCUGUGGGUAGAUGUAGGCAGCGAUAGUCUUUGUGGGAGUCAGAAUAAGCGAGAAAGACACACAACAAGGUUCUGGGGGAGAGUUUGUUAUCAGAACUUGCGGCUAGAUUUGGGAAACACGGACAGCCAAAAAUACGUAGAUCGGCGUAGGUUAGCUGAGCGAGGAAGAGGGACUGCAAGGGGAGAAACGCGGGCAAGUUUUUGUGGGCCAAAUAUUUAGUAAAUAGGUGGCAUAGCGAAGGGCUUCAACUUAAUAUUGAGGAGGCAUGGAGGCUUGAAGCAGAAGAAUGCGGAGAAUAUUGUUGAUAGAGCGAAGAGAACGUUCAGCUUUUUCGUUUUGGGGCGAGGUAUAGGGGUAAGAGAAUCGUAGAAGAAUACCAUGGUGAAGGAAGAAAUCACGGUUGCGUGAGUUAUCGAACUCACUGCCAGUGUCGCAUUGUAGGGAACGAAUAGGGAGAGAGAAGUGAGCUGACACGCGACAUUGAAAAUUAGCAAACAAACUAUGAACAUCCAAUUUUGCACGAAGAGGAAAGGUUUAUAUGAAGUCAGAGUAAUCAUCUAAAACAACAAGAUAAUAUUUGAAACCGGAAACACUAAGGGUAGGUGACCUCCUGGGUGGUAAGGGAGUUCAUUGCAGCAUGAAAGCAGCCUCAUCCCAAGUCGGCGCGGUUAAAGUCGAUGCAUAUGUAGUGGACUGGACGGCUGAGGAGAUGGUGUCGCUGCCUGUGCCGCUUGCUCCCAGGAUGGCGGUGGAGGUACAUGGACGAUGCCAUCGCAGCCGCAGCAGCCUAGUAGAGGGGUGCAUAGGCAGUGUAGGCAUGUGGCGGAGGAGGGGAGCCAAGGAGACCAAGAGCACCGAUGGAUGGGCGAAGCCCGGGCACCCAGGUGCCACUGCACGCCGGAGGAGCGCCGUAGGGUGAAGGCGUUGUCCAGGGCAUGGGGCCUGCAUAAGCCCCGUCCAUGGAUCAUGCUGAGGGCGCCAUGAGGAGAGCAUCGGUGAGGAGGGCACCGGAGCUCUCGCUGCGGGCGUGGACAUUGGUGUCGAAGCCGACGAGGAGGAUGGCGAUUCGUGCUUGGGCAGUCGGUAGAUUGGGUUUUUGCCCUUGUAGUUGGGGCUCGGUUGCCAGCCGGGCGGCGAGUCAGGGCCGGAUGUCGCCGGCGGUGGAGCCGGAGGAGAUGGAGCAGGGCGGGCCGCGGUGUCGAAGAGGUGCGGGGUACUGGCCUUGCGCGCCUGAUUCUGCUCCUCCAUUCGGAGAAUGGAGCGGGCCUCGGCAAGUGUCGGCAAAUGACAGAGGAGCGGGAUGAAGGUCGCCUGCCGGGCGUACCGGUUGUCGAGGCCGCCCAUGAGUGCUGAAGAAAGCAACCACCUCACCGAGUUCGCGGAGCUCGUCCCCGAUAGCCUUGAUGCAUUGGCAGAAGACACCAACAGGGCAAUCACCCUGUGUAAUGGUGCGGAGCUUGGUGUUGAGAGAGGAGACACGGGCAUCACAGUUGUCCUGAAACACCAGCCGUAGUUCGAUCCAAAUGUCGUGAGUAGUCGCGCCGUCGGUGACCACGAGGUUAAAGAGCUCGGUGGAUAUGCGUGUGUACAACCACUGGAUAAGAGCAAGAUCAUCGAGCACCUAGGGUUGUGCGGGGCUGGUUGUGAGUCGCCAGAUAUGUGGUGAAGGAGAGAACAACGGCCCAGGUGAAUCUCAAAUAGAUGUUGCGAGUGGUAAUAUUCAUGGCUAUGGAGAUCCAGAACGAUCGGGAUGAAGGGGUGAUGCCAAUAGUGUCGCUGAAAGAGAGGGAGGAGGGAAUGGUGAGAGUGGCCGGUGGCGGAGGGGGCGGUGCACUGUAGUUGGUGGGAAGAGUUGGCUGGCCGCCGGUGGUGGUGGGAAUAGUUGGCUGGCUGCCGGUGGUGGUGGGAAGGGUUGGUUGUCCACCUGUGUUGGUCAUGGCGACCGUGGGAGGGAAGGAGAGAACCAGGUGUCUGAUACCGUGAAGAUUGAAAGAUUCAAGGCUUAGUUUGGCAGCAUAGUUUUUGAAAAGCCAAAGUAUUCUAAAACCACAGUAUUUUGAUGUGUGGGAUGUGUGGGUAACAAAUACUUUGGUUUCUUAAAAACGUAGUUUCUCUCAGUUUUGUCCAGUUCACCGAAGUGUCUGGGUGGUAUUGUUUUGCUGCAGUUUUUACUACAUUGCCAAAUCAGCAUGUGCUAACUCUGCUACACCUAAAGAGCAACACGACCGGAUUAGUCAGCAAGUGCUAACAGCUGCCAGCUGCAUGUAGCCUUGCCAUGCACGAGGUCUUCCAGACCUCCUGUUUGCGAGUGUGCGCUUCAAUGGCCAACAAUCUACUCCAUGAGCUAGCUUGGCUCGAGACGUGCGGCACUGCCAGAACCCAGAAAGUAAUCGGCAACCAGUGAAUUGUUUAAAUAAGAAGUAGGAGUAACAGACAGAGGAGUCGAAGGCAGCGAUUAGAUUUUCUGAUGUGUACGUCAACAGGCUGAGUGCUCUCCCCGACAACUUCUCUAGGUUCGGUUUAGAAAAAAGUGGCCGCGACCUCUUUUUUAAACAGUAUGAGAGAUACCAGAGUAUCUUAAACCACAUUAUUUUUUUAAGCCAAAAACCUCAAAGCAUUUAAAUACCAAAGUUUUUUCAGAAACCACGGUAUUCCUAAAAAAACUCCGUAAAUGGUUCACUCCCAAACGCACCCUUGUGUUCUGUAUUGCAUUCCAAAAUACAGGUGAGCAGAUACAUAUAGGGUGCUGGGUGCAACCGCAGUAGCAGAGACGUAUAGCCGAUCGGUGUGCUGAUCGUGGGAGUAUAGGAGUGGACGAAGUCCACGCACUAACAGAGAGGAGGGAGGCACGUUGGCUCAGCGGCGCUCUGGGGAGAGUGCGGCGGCGGUAGUGGUGGGUAGGAUCGGGGAAGAAGGUCGCCGGGUCACGGUCGUGAUUUCGGCUGGGCUUAUUUUCCGCGUACCGAAUUGGGAAGUUGUGACUCGCAGGAUCCAAGAUAGACGGCAUCCACUGCGUUUGGCAGUUUUGCAAAUAAAAAAUAAAAUUGGCGUGCCAAAUACAUAUCUCAAUAGAUAAAUAGAUAGAUAGACACAUACAUGUCGCCUAAAAAAACAUACAUACAUACAUACAUACAUACAUACAUACAUACAAGGUAUUAACUAGUUAUUCAUAUAUUAAUCAACUUUCGUAAAUCAGUACGUGUGGGAAUUUUUCUUAUAGAUCCGUCUUUGCAAAACUUGAGAUGUGAAUCAGAACCACUUAGAGAUCGAUCUUGUUUCCAAGAAACAAAAGAUGGUAAAAGUUCAAAUGCAAUUUGCCAAACCAAAUACUACGUAGGAACAGUUGCUACAUUAUUAAUAGUUACUCUUAUUGCACACAACAGACAUUAGUAUUUCUUGCACAAGCAAAUCUGCUGUAAGCAAAUUCAAAAAAUUAAGGAGCAUGUACAGGAGGAGGGGAUGUCAUCGCCACUAGUAUGUCUUGUGAAGACGAUGGGUUUUUGCAAUCUGACUUGCAGUUAUCCAUAGAUUUUGAAGCAAGGAGAAAGCAAUCCGGAAAGAAAAGCACCAAUUCAUGUGUAGGAAGCAUCGAUUUAUAUGGAAGCAAGCUACAUACUACUAUACUAAAGACCUAUGUUAAAAGGACUAGCAAUCAACCUGCUGAAAUCCAGCGGCGGAAUCAGAGGUAACCAUCAUUAACUAGUUUCAGUUUUGGGAACACUCAACGGGGGAAGGUGCCUUGCUUAUCCAACGGGUGCAUGGGAUCCAAUCCGACGCCUCUCUACUGGUCUGAUAGAAUGCUAGGCAUCAGCAGUCUAAUGCCUAGCGGUUCCCUUUCCUAAUACACCCCAUAUCAACAUCUUCCGGGAGAGGAUUGACUAUCAGCAAGCUUUUUCAUAACUCGUUCUUUCAACUUAUGCCAUGGGUUUCGAGCUCUUCGGAGUCCAUAAGAUGUUACUCAAAGUACCCACUAGGCAAUGAAGCCUGGCGUUAUCAGCCGCUACCACUGAUGUUUAUGAGCAUCCGUUACCACAGUAAUGGAUACAAAUUAUUAUACAUUAAGGGACAUGUAACAUAGCUAGCUUAGGGGGACAUGGGGUAGGGUACAUCAAACUCUAUAAAAGCCUACCCCGCUUCCGCCCGGCUACAGGCUCGGAACUCAUGUAUUCUCAAACUCAUACACACUAACACCCUCUGCGAGAUAGGACUAGAGUUGUUGCGAGAUAGGACUAGAGUUAUUACCUCCAUCGUCGAGGGGCCUGAACUCAUGUAUUCCCCAUGAUGUAGUUGCGGCACGGCGACAUGUCGAUCUGCGUCUGCAUGCACCCGCUCGUCGUCGACUUCGCUGAGGCCAGGAUCGCCACAACGAUGAGCACCGCUGCGGCGAGCAUGGACGCCGCCCUCGCUGCCAUUCUUGCUCCCCUUCCUUGCUUGAACACCACCGGCCGUCUCUCUCCCUCUCUCUAGGUACCGUAGUGGUUGCCUUGCCUUGGUUUGUGCCUAGCUCUUCUCUUGCUUUAUAUAUAGGCGGAGAAGGUGGCAGCAGGAACAAGACACGACCGAGAUCGAGGGUGGUUUGGCACCACGACAUGAAUGUCUGGUGUUCCUCGCGGAUAUUGAUUGUUUUCUCUUCUAGAGAAUUAAUUAUACCAAACACCCCAAAUCAACCUCUUCCGAGAGAGGAUUGACUAUCACCAAGCUGCCCCAUAACUAGUUCUUUCAACUUAUGCCACGGGUUUCUAGCUCUUCGGAGUCCAUAAGGUGUUACUCGAACUACUGAAGCCUGGCGUUAUCAGCCACUACCACGGAUGUUUAUGAGCGUCCGUUACCACAAUAAUGGAUACAAAUUAUUAUACAUUAAGGCACAUGUAACAUAGCUAGCUUAGGGGGGCAUGGGGUAGGGUACAUCAAUCAAACUCUAUAAAAGCCUACCCUGUAUUCUCAAACUCAUACGCAAUAACACCCUCUGCGAGAUAGGACUAGAGUUGUUGCGAGAACCUCCACCGUUGAGGGGUCUGGAUCUGUAUACAUCUUUCCAUCCCACAUUCUAUCUUGAUAGAUCAAGCUCUUUUCCUCUAUCCCUCUUACUGUCAGAUUUAGCACCACGACAUUUUUUUCUUCUAUCAAAAAGGUGGUUAGACCCCCGGCCUCUGCAUCAAUCGAUGCAUACAGUCAUCUUUAUUAGUUAUUCAACAAAGGUCUGACAAGAACAUACAUCAAGCAACCCGAAACCACCACCCACACCUACAGACUCGAUAAUAUGGAGUGCUCUCACCCUUCAUAUCUAAAACCAGUGUCAUCGCCGAUCCAUCCACAUAACGUAUCGGAACCAACAGCCGGUGCAGAAGACCUAAAGCGCACAUCACAUGCACACGUUUUAGAAGCCGUCAUCAUCAUCGUGCCACUGACCCAUCUUCAGGAUAGAGAUCCGCAUCAUCCUUACCAGUCCAGACAACCGUCGACGUCACCACGCCGCGGCGCCACCGCCCUGCGUGUCCAUCUAGACGCGAAGACUCUGAAAGAUCUGUCGUGCGUAGCACCUGCCGACCAGGCAUGACACAACGUAGCACCUGUCGGCCAGGCAUGACUUGGCAUCUCCACCGAAGCUCCGUGCAAGACUAAGCCGCUCCACCUCCUGCCUCUGUCUUCCAGCGCUGCUCCACAAACGGUGCUCCCAAAAGAGGAACGACACCGUAGUACCGUCAUCGUCCGAUCUGGAUUACCAGAUCUUAGAGUUUCCCCCGAAGCAGCACGAGUGAGUCGACAUAUAUUACACGACGAUGCCUUCAUGAAGGUAACGACGCAAGACGCCGCCAUCGCCCCGCCAUCGGCUUGGUUUUCACCGGAAACUCUGUUUUCCCAACUCACAACCGGGACUAGAUGACGGAUCUGGAGAUCCGACCACCCAGCCUCAGGCUGACCAUCUCUGACGGAGGAGGUGGCCACCACCGCCACACCCAGGGCCGCAGCCCCCGCCGACGUCCUCGAGUUGCGGGUCGAUCCCAGGGACAGCAAGCCAUUGACGGAACGGUAGACGAGGUUGCGGCCCGCCGAAGCCCAUCUAGGCCCAGAUCAGGCACCGUCGCUGGACCUGCCGUCGUACGCCGUGGCCGUCCCGCACACACUGCCGUAGAUCCGGCCAUCACGGGCCGCCGCCGUCCGGACCGAAGCGCGGGCUGAGGAGAAACGCCGCCGCCGCUGCAGCACACAGGCUUUUCCUGCGACGCCCCCGGCGGCGGCGGCGGCGGCGGGAGGAGGCGCUGGAGUGAACGGGGGGAGGCGGAGGAGGCGCCGCACGGGAGCAGGAUAGGGUUAGGUGCGGGAGCGGGAUAAUGUUCCUCUUUCUCAAACGAUUCUUCUAAGGUAGCACCACGACAUGCAGCUUGGUCUUCUCCACACCCAACCACAAGCAUGAAUCUGCUCAGCUAUCCUAGCGAGCAUGGCUCAGCUAGAUCUGCCUGAGGACUAGCUCGCCUAGCUGCAGAGUGCGUGAUGCGUCCAUGCACGCACGCAUGCAUGUUCAUGUCACCUGUGUGGCUCAAGGAUGACGAUGGAAUAGAAUGUUGGGUGAUGAUGCUGAAAUAAAAAGACUUUUCCUGCCUUCUCCCGUGUUUCCAAUCUCCGUCACUUGCUAUAACUUUUUCAACCAAAAUAGCGUAGGGAAACCAUCGGAAAAAAAAAACUUACGAAAUAACUACGAAUUUUUUAGACACAAAUAAGCCGCUGAUCAGGCUGCACAUUACAGCAGGACACAUGACAUGCUCUACAAGCUAGUAAUUUCCUGGUACUGUUGCUUUCGACGAGAUUGAGUGGACUAUCACCCCAGAGGGACACAUAUAUUUGUUACUCGUGAGCGUUGAAUUCAUUCAUCAACCUUUAGUUUGCCGAUUUACCUCCCAAUUCAAGCCGGCACUGUGUUUGGGAAAUGCUACUCCCUGGCCUCUGCUUAUCAUGCCCAAUUCAUGGGGCCAUGACCACUUCAUGGGGCCUGCCAUUUGAAAAUUUCGGGCUCCUAAAAAAUGUAUUCAAAACUGGGUAUGGUUAACAGGAUCGUUUUGCCAAGUGUGGAUGGUCAAAUUGUGGGCUUCACCCAUUGUGGAACAAAAUUAUUGCAUGGCUUUGAUGACGCCAAGCCUCGUGGAUAGAGGUGGUGCACGACGGGCACAAACCAUGAAAGGCGGUGGCAUCACUCAUCAAACUUGUCUCUUGGAGGUAUGGAAUGAGCGCGAUGCAAGGGUCUUCAACAAUGCUUCUCGGUUCCUCAAUCAUCAUCUCCAAUAUACGAAAUGAGACGAGCAAUUGGGUUUAUGCCUGCUCGAAACACUAGUGUAAUUUAAUGCUAGAAAAGUAGCUUUUUAUUCCUUCAGGCUUUCAAACUUUAAUCUGAACUCUCUUUAGUUAGGACACUCGAGUAGGAUGAUGCGCGACCCAUCAUGCAUCGUUAACAUCAUGGUGCAUGAUUUUUUUUUUCAAAAUUUCCAAAAAUUUCAAAAUUGUGAACAAUUUUUAAAUUCACAUCUUUUUUCAAUUUCACAAACCAUUUUCAAAUCCAUGAUUAUUUUUUCUUCCCAUUUUCAAAUCCUUGGCAGCACCAAGCGGGCUGCCAACAUGGACGAACUACUCGGCUGACCUCUACCGAGUGGAUUUGAAUGCACUAGGUACGUCCAUACGUCCAUAAGUGUAGCCAUGCAUGCAUCAACCUUUUUGCUGACCCUAGUCAUGCCGAACUACGUACUGCAGUUCAGUAACUAGCCGGGUCGCGGCAUGUGGGGCGUUAAUUAGCUACUAAGGCUGCCAGCCAUCGAGCUCGGAGUCUCGGACCGUGCGUGUCCGCCUAUAAAUACACCGGUGUUGGCGACCACAUGCAACCACGUGACCACGUGCUGUUGUCGACGCCUCUCGCAGCGCCCCUUCCUCAGCUUUGCUGAGAGGUUCUUCCCUUAGGUGCACACAUGCACUACAUUUUCUGCCCAGCCCUCACGGCCUCCUUCUUUUUGUUAACUCAACUCAAUGCAGAUGGUCGCGGUCCCGCUGCCUAGCAAGCGGAUGCCAUUGCUGCAAGAAUGCACGAAAAUUGAAGAACGAGUCAGAAGCCUGUCAGGGAAAAAUCCACUCAAUCACCAUUUUAUUGCGCAUAGUCCAAAGGGUCCACGUCAGCGCCGCAAAGAUAAGCCAGAACAAGCGGCGAUUGCGUCCCCUCUGGGUGGCCCUAGAUUGCAGUAACUCUGCCAAAUCUAGGGCCUCCCAGUCUGACCCAAGGGCCUCGUGCACAAAGGACCAAAGUGCUUGGGCCGCGAGACAAGAGAACAUAAUAUGGGUUCCUGUCUCUGGGACGUGACAUAGGGGAUAAAUACCAUCAUCCGGGCUGUGCCGCUUAAGAACCUCUGUUCCAGAGGGAAAGCGGUCACGCAGAGGCUCUUCCCUUGGUGCGCACAUGCGCUACAUUUUUUGCCCAACCCUCAUGGCCUCUUUUUUAUUAACUCAAUGCAGUACAUAUAUAUGCACCAGGGGUCGGACACACCCACAAACCCGGCCACCACGUUGGCCACUAACCCAACUAAUUAGCUCCAUGCACUAACUACCCAUGGCCAUGUCCAGUGCGUGCGCAUCAUUGACUCAACUCUACACGACCCAUGAAUGCACGCGAACGGACUAACUAGUACACCGAUUCUCUUGGCUCCAGUCCAGCUAACCCAUUCAACCAGUCUAGCUCCAGCGCGCCUGGCCGCUUCACGCGACCGUGCCGCAUCCCAUAGCACCGCAGGCAACUCCUAACCAAUUCUACCUGCAUAACAAAAACAAACAUGCUCAUACACAUACAGGGCCGGCCCUAGAAUUAAGAAGGCCCUAGUGCAAAUGAGGUAUUAGAGGGUAACAUAAAUAAUUUCACCGGUAUAUACUACAUAUCAUGAAAAUUAUUAUAAAAAUAUAAAAAUCAAAAAUACAGUUUAUUAGCAAAUAAAGUCUUACUACACCAUAUAUAUAUGUGAUUACAUUAAAUAAUAAUUAUAAGAUACAUGUACUUAGACAUAAACAACUUACCGAAUAAAUACGAUGUGGAGAAGUGUAGGGGGGCAAAUGCCCCCGUCCACGGACAACAGUUUUGAAUAUAUGUUUCGCAAACCACAUUUUUUCUAGUUUUAUUUAGGUAUGUAUAUAUAGUGGGCCCUUAUUUGAGAUGGGCCCUAGGCCGCCGCACCUUUUGCCAUGGCCUAGGGCCGGCCCUGUACACAUAUCAAGAUUAGUGCAAACCAACUUGUGGUUGGAUAGAUAGAGGGACAGUGGUAACCCCAGCUCACCAGGGUUUAAAUCCAGCUGGGGUUUAAAUCCUGAUGCUCGCAUAAUUCCUAGAUUUAUUUCAUGAUUUCCGGCGAUGCGCUUUUAAUGGGAGAAGACGUUCGUAAAUCUCAAGAUGAUAUGUCGGCUUAGUCUCUCGAAGGUGCUCAUAGAGAUAUGAUGUGUGUGUGUGCAUUAAUAGGGAUGAGUGUAUGCGCGUAUGUAUGAGCGCUUGCGUCUGUACUGUGUUAAAAAAAAUUAGUGCUAACACCUAUUUCUAUUUUAUUUCUGGACGCACCACAGCUCAACUCAUGGAUACAACUCACGCCACAAACACACGUCCAUCAAGUACUCCUUGAAAGCUCUCCAUGACCUAGCUACACAACUAACAGACAUGCAUGCACUAACAAUCCAUCUCUGAACUAACUUCCGUCCGGUUGAUCAGGCUUCAACCCCACACGCACCUUCUGUUCGACGCGGCCGUAUGCUUCUGCUGUGCCUCUGAUGAGCCAGGUCUCCUGCUCAGACGAGCGUUCUAAUUAUCCGUAUGAAACGGUCACAAAUGCUCAAUCCGACGAAGACAAAAUCCACAAACUCGGCAUGGAAUACACCUCGUCCGAAUACAUCAUGUUUGCUUCAAAGUAUACAAAUGUAACAUCCUUUGAGUUAAACGUGUUUGGGAAUUUUUACUGUUAACAUGGCAUGCCUCGUUCACUACUGCCGGAUUACUGUUUCCGGUGAAAAGAUUGAUAAAUCUCCCACAUACCUAUAAGGAACACGGUACUAGCUCUGCCAACUCUAAGGAUGUUACUGUCCUCACGCGUGAUCACUGGAAAGUGAAUAUUAACUAGUUUUAGCCACUUGCACUCUUAUUCUUUGGAUAAUUACCAGUCAGUAAGAGCCCUACUCUCUUCCCAGGAUCUCCAAGACUAUUUCCACUUAACCUCUCAGAGGAAGCUUUUUUUCAAUGCAACCUUAUGCGCAUGUCUUGUGAAAUGAUUUCUCCCUUUCUGAUCAGCCAGAAAUAUGUCGUUUCCAUGGCCUGCAAUUACAUUUCAAUGUAUAUCAAGCCUAUAGUUUGUUAAUUGGAAAUCACCCAACUAUCGCGGCAGUGCAUUUGGCAAAACAUGGUGUCAGAGUAAACAUAAAGAUUUUUGUGGUUGUUUAUCAACAAUGGAGUCAACAUCAGAGAAUUAUACCACAGAAAAAAAAUUAUUCAUCCCUCACUAAAGCUAUGUCAUGCGUCGGGAAUGGAGUAAAGGUUGUUGUCAAAGCCAUAUGGGUCUUACCUCUGCUUCUAUGUGGGGGUUUAUAUUAGAACUUAGUACUCCCUCCGUAAAGAAAUAUAAGAGUGUUUAGAUCACUAUUUUAAUGAUCUAAACACUCUUAUAUUUCUUUACAAAGGGAGUAUAUAUUUGUUAUUAUGUUUCGGCCUUAUGCAAGAACAUAAUGAUACAUCCCGCUCAAAUAGUUGUAGUAAACGAUGGUCAUCGGAUCACGAUAUCAAGAGCGUAUUGGUGCUGAGACAGGCACAAUUCAGCUGAGCCGCGGUGAACGUUGACACCCAGCGAGGAACUUUGUAAAUGGGGAACGAAAGCACACCUCUGUGCCAACAAAGAAUUUGUACUUUGUACAAGAUGCCAGCUGGUGGCCAGACAUGAUCGCGCCGGGCUGCGGGUCGGAACAAAAUACGGAACGAAUUAGCUACUUAUCAGUCGACUGAUUUUUCAGUUUGGGGUAAGUCAAUUUUUGAACGAAGGAAAGACCUCGCCGGAGAUAAGGAAAGACCUCGCCGGAGAUAAGGAAGGGACUCGCAUGAUUCUGGAAUAAAAUGUUGGGUCAUGAACUCAUGAUCGGUGCUGGAAUAAAAUGAGUUUUCCUACCUUCUCCUCCGUUUCCUCCCUCUGUCACUUGCUGCAAUCUUUUCAACGAAAACCACGUACAAGAAUUGGCAACCGUCCGAAAUACGCCCGAAGUUACGAUGAGUCACUCACAAAUAAGCCGCAGGACGCUGCACAUUGCAGCAGAAAACAUGAGAUGCUCUACAAGCUAGUAAUUGCUUUGCUGUACUGUUGGUUCCAUCGGGAUUGAGCACAAGAAGGCACACCUUUGAUUACUUGUACGAUGUGUGGCUUUAAACACUAUGUCACCUGCUCAUUAACUCGUGUGCAUUGAAUUCAUUUAUCAACCUUUAGUUUGGUGGUAUACAUUCCAAGUUCAGCUCCAUAUAAUCAAGCCCGCACUUUUUUUUGGAAGGGCAAAAGAUUUGACACAUUUAUUAAUUAAGAAUGAGCUUAACAAAGUCACUAACCCGAAGGCGAAAGAAAUGCCUACUCUCCAGACAUAAUAUCACUCAAGUGCCGAGCCCCGGCUAACACCCACUUGCACGUUUCAUCUCGGAUCUUGUCGAUGACUCUCAAGAUGUUGUUGAAGACUCUCGGGUUGCCUCAUUCCAAAUUACCCAUGGACGUUACUCCAUGGCCUCUGCUUAUCAUGCACAACUAAUGGGGGCACGGUCACUUCGUUUUAGUCUACCAUUUAUAAAAUUUGGGCUCUUGAAAGUUUUUGGGCAUGGCACUAUUCACAUCUCGACUUGUCUUUUUUGUUUCUCUUUGUAUAUUUCGGAUUUUGAUCUGAAUUUUUAGGGGUUGUAGACACAUGUGUUCUGAAACUUCACAAAAAUAUUACACAUCUAAAAUUGAAAUUUUCAAACUGGUAUCAUGGGAGCACUUACAAUACUGGAAAAACUGUCUACGCUGAGUUAUUUCAGCUAAGCCGAGAGCCAAAGUGCUGGCUCUCGGCAAAUUGGAUGAAUACCUUACUUCUAGUAUCUUUCCGGCAUUGGUGGAACAUAAUUCAGAUCCGUAUCACACUGAAACUAGUUGAAGUCAUCCUUGUCAUGAAGGAGAAUGUAGUUAUGCAGUGUCAUAAUUGCCGCAACAAUCAAUUUCUGUGUUUCAAUCAAUCUUGAGCAGUAUUUUCCAUUUCAUUUUCAGAACACCAAAGGCCCUCUCUAUGCAAUUGCAUCCGCUUGGAGGAGUGGAUCUUUUUUAACUUCUCCAUAGGAUUAGUAGGGGGUGCACCUCUCCGCAUGGUGCUUUUCCUGAAAGUCACAUCCCCGUUCGGUAUCCCGCAACUUGAGUUUCGAAAAUAUGUUGUGAUCACCUUUUAGCUUGUCCUAUUUGAUUUUAAAUCAGACAUGUUUGUAGUCGAGCCCGAUUCACAUCUUGAAUUUCCUUCACACCUCCUCAAAUACAUUUGGCAUCAAAUAAUUGUUUGGCCUAUUUGCAUCCUUCACUUGCUCCACAAACAACUCAGUGAGAAUCCUAGUAUUUUCGUCAUAGGUCCAUUCGGUGGCCAUGCUCAACAAUUGUCUGAGAAAAUGCUCACAUGUCCUAGGAAAAUACACAUGGAUUGGAGCGAAGGUGCUUCUGUGUAUAGCCAAACUCUUGUAAUAUAAAUUGAUGAUGCCCGGCCUGUUGUUGGGGGAAGCUUGUUAAAUAAAUGCAUUCAUAGUUGCUAAGACAGUCUGAUGAAAAGCAAAUGUAAGCUUAUAAAACUAUAGAAACUGAGAACUGUGUAAAAAGAUAAAAAAUAAAUUCAGUUAAAAGAAUGCUAUUUCUAACAAAAACAUGAAGGAUGAACUACAUAGGUAUGCUGCAAUCGCCUAACACAUAUAUUGUCAAUAAAAAGUCUAGUGUAGAAAAUUAACUUAUGACCAACAUGUAUUAAUUGAUGAUGUGGCAAUGUUGUGUGCAUAGAUUAGUGCAAAAAAAUAACUUAUGACUUACAUGCAUGCCUUGCUUAUGUGGCAUGGUGGCAUGACUAAGAAAAAUAGGUAAUGGUUUGUAGCUAUUUAGGAAUAGAGGGUGCGUUCAAUUUUUUUAUUGUGUCCAUAUGCGCAUCUGCCCAUUAUUUGCACACAUAUAAACGCAUCCCAGUAUACUUGGCACACUUCAAAUUAAGGAGCUAGGGUACAUUUGCACACGUUGCACAAAAAUCACUACACAUCAUACAUUCAAAGAUAGCACCACAAGAAAGUAAAAUACCCAUCACCAUACCUGCCACAGGCAGAGCUUGGGGAAGUAGUACAAGGGGAGCUCACCACGGGUUUGAGCGAGGACUACCGUCUGGGUCAGCCCGGAAAGGAUGGCAAGCUUAGAGGUGCGGGGCAAAUGGGUAAGCGUCAGUGGGGAAGCUCGACAGUCGGCGAUGGGGUAGUUGUGUGCCUAGGGUUUGCAUCACAAGGUCGAANNNNNNNNNNNNNNNNNNNNNNNNNNNNNNNNNNNNNNNNNNNNNNNNNNNNNNNNNNNNNNNNNNNNNNNNNNNNNNNNNNNNNNNNNNNNNNNNNNNNNNNNNNNNNNNNNNNNNNNNNNNNNNNNNNNNNNNNNNNNNNNNNNNNNNNNNNNNNNNNNNNNNNNNNNNNNNNNNNNNNNNNNNNNNNNNNNNNNNNNNNNNNNNNNNNNNNNNNNNNNNNNNNNNNGGCAGAGGGGGAAUCUACUCAAUCCUACCUAACCUACCUAACUAAAUACCCCUGAAUUUCACUAUCAUGAUGUGGAUCCCCAGCGAGGCAUUACAGGCGCGGCCACCACUGCAAUGGGUGGGUGGCGGUGCUUGCGGUCCUCUCACUGACGUUCUUCCAAAAGUGGCGACAAUGUUGCUCUGUCAUAAUACCAAUCUUGAUCUACUUAUCAUCACAAGAAACACCUAUGCAGCGAAGGUGAAGAUUUUAACCAUGGGGCGGCAUCACCCUAGGUUGAUACUCUAGAAGAAGGCCGCAAUAGAGAAACACCAGACGAGGGCAAAGCAGAGAAGCAAAGGAUGGAGAGGCGAUGGUGGCACCGUCCUUGCCCCAAACGUAGUUGUGUUCGCCUCGCUUUGUCGCCUUCAGGAAAAGCAAGUACACCCUUAUGUUUUUUCCUAUUAAGUAUUUUCUCAUCUUAGUUAUGAAAGAGAGAAUACUAAUUGCAUGUUGUAUACCAUCUUCUCAAUUUUUCCAAGAGUUUAGAAGGAAUUGCAACAACAUAUCAAGUGUUACUGUCCUUUGGCUGUUUACGGUGGUGUGUACGAGUUUGGAGCAUAUGUUGCUAGUGAUGUUUUUGUCCACAUGGGUGGCGGCAUAAUGUAUGUACUCCCUCCAUCGAAAUAUAUAUGGCCUAAUACAUUUUUCGAGGUUGCCUUUGACCAUUGAUAAAAUUGUUAAUAUAAGAGAUGUACGAUAUAAAUUAAGAACACAUUUCACAUACGAAUUUGACGGUAUGCUUCGUGUAGCAUGCAUGCCAUAUAUUAUUGAUCUAACAUGUGGUAAAACUUAACCUUGAAAACUUAUUAUGCCCUAUAUUUUUUAUUGGAGGGAGUAUAGGCUUUCCACUCCAUACAUCUAGGCAUAGUCACGGUCUUGUUUGACUUUGCUUUUACCGGCAUAGUACUUUGUGCGAGUUUGCAUUGGUUGUGUGUAUUCUGGUUAUGUAGAGGUGUGGGUAUAAACUCAUUAGCUUGUAUCACCUUGAUGCCAUAUUAUGUGUCAAUAAACACCCUUAUUUAUCAAAAAGAACUCUCCUCACAUCUUCCCACAUAACUUUUGGGAUAUUCUCAGAAUUAUACAAGGGGAGAUGUUGUACCACGGGUAGUGUUAAGAGUAUGAUUAGCUGAUUAUUGUUAAUUAGGUUGCUUAUUGCUACUCAAUAAAGACUAGUUAGAUGCAUUUAUUUGUCUAUCUGUCUCGUUCUUUACUUUAACACAACCAAAGGAAAUGGAUGUGGAUGGAAGUACUACACGGAGCGAGCCAGCAGGCAGCCAUCAUUGACGAACUACCCCGCUGACCCUCUACCCACUGGGUUUCAAUGCAGAACGUCCCUAGGUGUAGCCAUGCAUGCAUGAAUGCAUCAACCUUUUUGCUGACCGUAGUCAGGUCGAACUAGUAGUGCAAGUGCAAUUCAGUACCAGGGUGUUCAACUGAUAAUUGCACAGGACGAGAGCGAUUGAUAAUGCGGGAUUGUUCUACUGUCUUAAUCAACCACCUGCUCCGUCGGCGGCCAUGGCCACGUAUUCGGACGGUGCAUGGCCAGGCCAGCUAUAAAUACCCCAGGAGUUCCAGCACCCCUCUCCUCACCACCAUCUCUCCCAUUCCCAUCACACAAGACACAACGUACACCUCUGCGACCGCGAUAGCGAGAGUGGAAGAGUAGAUCGACGGGCAUGGCGAUAUGAGGAAGGAGGUCCUCCUGGCGGCCAUGAUGCUGGCGCUGGUGGUGGCGGCGCCGGGCGGGGCGCGUGCCGCGUGCGUGGUGGGGCAGCUGACGGUGUGCAUGCCGGCGAUCACCACCGGUGCCAAGCCGAGCGGCGCGUGCUGCGCCAACCUGCGCGCGCAGCAGGCGUGCUUCUGCCAGUACGCCAAGGACCCCUCCCUCGGCGCCUACAUCCGCAGCCCCCACGCGCGCGAGACCCUCGUCACCUGCGGCCUCGCCGUCCCGCACAGCUAGGCGCCAGGCCGCCUAGCGAGUAUGUAUGGCUCAGCUAUAGCUGCCUCCGCCGUCCAUCAGAUGAGAGAUGAGACUAUAGCUAGCCUAGCUGGUGAGUGCGCGAUGCGUCCAUGCCGCAUGCAUCCAUGUUCCUGUUCGAUGGAUGAUGAUGGAAUAAAAUAAAAGAUGUUGGGUGAUGAUGCUGGAAUAAAAUGACCGACUUUUGUUAACUUCAUUCUCCUCUGCUUCCUAUGUCCGUGGUUACUUGCUGUAAGAUUUCAACCAAAAUUACUACGAUCGGGUUUUGUACUUGUAGACACAAGUAAGCCACUGGUGAUUGCCUGAUACUCCUACAUUGCAACAGCUAACAUGAGAUGCUCUACAAGCUAGUAACUGCCUGCUGCUACUACUGUCGCUUUCAACGGGAUUGCUUGUGUGUAUAUGCGAUGUGUGGUGUGACUUUAAACACUGUGGCGCGUACUCAUGUGCGUUGAAUUCAUUUAUCAGCCAGCAAUCAAGUUCAGCUCCAUACAAUCAAGCCGGCACUAUUUUUUUUCCGCAAAGGGCAAAACAUUU